CAGAACCCUUCCUUAACAAGGGGUAGAUGCUAUUAUGUAAUUAAGCUCUAAUGAAUUUGCUGCCAUUAUGCCGGUGGUUCCCACUGAACCCAAGAUCACAUAAGAAGGAGACACUGGAGUUGAUUCUUGAAGAAGCAAAAGAUGGCAAGAAUUAAAGAUCAAUUGGGGAAAAAGUGAAGCUUGUUUUAAUGAAUUAAGGGCAUAUGGAAGGCAAGAUUUUAGAUGAUUUACUCCCUUACUCCUCUGUUCCCACAGUACCCCAACAUAAAAUUCUAUGUAUCAAAAAAUUUCAUGACACAUAAUAAUGUUCUCUCUGUGAUUCUCUCUUAGUCUCUGUCUUUGUCUCUUUCUGUCUCUGUGUGUCUCUCUUUGCA
Molecule: long non-coding RNA, 374 nt
Organism: Antechinus flavipes (yellow-footed antechinus)
Lineage: Eukaryota; Metazoa; Chordata; Mammalia; Dasyuromorphia; Dasyuridae
Exons: 3
Source: RefSeq, a predicted model, not a curated record